RNAcentral lists this ribosomal RNA (468 nucleotides) under uncultured bacterium. RNAcentral describes it as "partial 16S ribosomal RNA". It matches the Rfam family "Bacterial small subunit ribosomal RNA", at positions 28 to 507 of the family's 1533-position model. The record is from RNAcentral.
GACGAACGCUGGCGGCGUGCUUAACGCAUGCAAGUCGAACGGAAAGGCCCUGCUUUUGUGGGGUGCUCGAGUGGCGAACGGGUGAGUAACACGUGAGUAACCUGCCCUUGACUUUGGGAUAACUUCAGGAAACUGGGGCUAAUACCGGAUAGGAGCUCCUGCUGCAUGGUGGGGGUUGGAAAGUUUCGGCGGUUGGGGAUGGACUCGCGGCUUAUCAGCUUGUUGGUGGGGUAGUGGCUUACCAAGGCUUUGACGGGUAGCCGGCCUGAGGGGGUGACCGGCCACAUUGGGACUGAGAUACGGCCCAGACUCCUACGGGAGGCAGCAGUGGGGAAUAUUGCACAAUGGGCGGAAGCCUGAUGCAGCAACGCCGCGUGCGGGAUGACGGCCUUCGGGUUGUAAACCGCUUUCGCCUGUGACGAAGCGUGAGUGGCGGUAAUGGGUAAAGAAGCACCGGCUAACUACGUG